Long non-coding RNA from Microtus ochrogaster (prairie vole), 583 nucleotides. RefSeq lists it as uncharacterized. The record is from RefSeq and is a predicted model, not a curated record. NCBI's taxonomy places the organism in Eukaryota, Metazoa, Chordata, Mammalia, Rodentia, Cricetidae. The transcript has 2 exons.
GGGAGGUGGGGGCGAGAAGUAAAGGAGUUCAAAGCCAUCUCCAGUUAUAUAGAAAAGUUUGAGUCCAGCCUGAGCUGCAUGAGACCCUGUCUUAAGACACAAACAUCCAUUAUUCUAUACUGAUAUCAAUAAGUGGUAGCCAUAGCCCUCUGCCCUCGAAAUGUGAACAGUGUAGACAGUGUCUACUUUCCAAAGUAGGCAUAGCACAAAGUCAGGAAGAGAGACUCUACAAUGGAGAGUCGUGACACCGUCAGCCAGAGGACUGAAGCCAGAUAAUGGUGACAACGGCGCUUUACCCCUGUGCUCUUCCUCCCAAACCCAGAGUACCUGGAAUAAAAACAUCAGAAAAAGAAGGCAAAGUCCAAUAAUGAGGCGUUCCCAAGGCAAUCCGCUAGUACUUUUGGAAAUGUCAAGGUUAUCACAAGCAAAUCAGGGUAGGCUCAAGUCAAGAAGGAGGUGCCCAGAGAGACGUGAAUUCCAAAUGCAACAUGGCAUAUUCGAUGGGACUCUGGGACAGAACAAAAUGUGGACUUCAUUACCUUUCUUCCGUUAAUAGUGAAUCAAUAAAAUUUCAUUAAGUGAA